Molecule: small nucleolar RNA, 88 nt
Organism: Ursus americanus (American black bear)
Lineage: Eukaryota; Metazoa; Chordata; Mammalia; Carnivora; Ursidae
Gene: SNORD14
Rfam family: Small nucleolar RNA SNORD14
About the family: U14 small nucleolar RNA (U14 snoRNA) is required for early cleavages of eukaryotic precursor rRNAs. In yeasts, this molecule possess a stem-loop region (known as the Y-domain) which is essential for function.
Source: Ensembl
UCACGAUGAUGAAUGGUCCACACAUUCGCGGUUUCCACCAGAAUUCCCGAUGUUGGCAGCUAGAUUCCUUCCUUGGAUGUCUGAGUGA